CACCGGCGGCUCGAGUGGUAACCGUUAUUAUUGGGUCUAAAGGGUCUGUAGCCGGCCGGAUAAGUCUCUUGAGAAAUCUGGCAGCUUAACUGUCAGGCUUUCAGGAGAUACUGUCUGGCUCGAGGCCGGGAGAGGUGAGAGGUACUUCAGGGGUAGGGGUGAAAUCUUGUAAUCCUUGAAGGACCACCAGUUGCGAAGGCGUCUCACCAGAACGGACCUGACGGCAAGGGACGAAAGCUAGGGGCACGAACCGG
Molecule: ribosomal RNA, 254 nt
Filed under: uncultured archaeon
Lineage: Archaea
Description: partial 16S ribosomal RNA
Rfam family: Archaeal small subunit ribosomal RNA
Source: RNAcentral